CCUACGGGUGGCAGCAGUGGGGGAUAUUGCACAAUGGGGGAAACCCUGAUGCAGCGACGCCGCGUGAGUGAAGAAGUAUUUCGGUAUGUAAAGCUCUAUCAGCAGGGAAGAAAAUGACAGUACUUGACCAAGAAGCCCCGGCUAACUACGUGCCAGCAGCCGCGGGAAUACGUAGGGGGCAAGCGUUAUCCGGAUUUACUGGGUGUAAGGGGAGCGUAGACGGUUAUGCAAGUCUGGAGUGAAAGCCCCGGGCCCAACCCCGGGACUGCUUUGGAAACUGUGGAACUGGAGUACAGGAGGGGCAGGCGGAAUUCCUGGUGUAGCGGUGAAAUGCGUAGAUAUCAGGAGGAACACCGGCGGCGAAGGCGGCCUGCUGGACUGCAACUGACGUUGAGGCGCGAAAGCGUGGGGAGCAAACAGGAUUAGAUACCCUGGUAGUC
RNAcentral lists this ribosomal RNA (440 nucleotides) under uncultured bacterium. RNAcentral's name for it is "partial 16S ribosomal RNA". It matches the Rfam family "Bacterial small subunit ribosomal RNA", at positions 338 to 795 of the family's 1533-position model. The record is from RNAcentral.